Molecule: microRNA precursor, 205 nt
Filed under: Oryza nivara
Lineage: Eukaryota; Viridiplantae; Streptophyta; Magnoliopsida; Poales; Poaceae
Description: MIR812 microRNA precursor family
Rfam family: MIR812 microRNA precursor family
Source: Rfam by way of RNAcentral
GAAAAGAUAAAUCAUGGAUUUCCGUGUCCAACGUUUAACUAUCCGUCUUAUAUGAUUUUUUUUAUAAUUAGUAUUUUCAUUGUUGUUAGAUGAUAAAACAUGAUUAAUACUUUAUGCGUGACUUGUCUUUUUAAUUUUUUUCAUAUUUUUUUAAAUAAGACGGACGGUCAAACGUUGUGCACGAAAACUCAUGGUUUAUCUUUUU